This 1337-nucleotide ribosomal RNA is filed under the name Lactiplantibacillus pentosus. RNAcentral's name for it is "bacterial SSU rRNA". It matches the Rfam family "Bacterial small subunit ribosomal RNA", at positions 89 to 1413 of the family's 1533-position model. RNAcentral also lists the same sequence under 1 other name. The record is from RNAcentral. Lineage: Bacteria; Bacillati; Bacillota; Bacilli; Lactobacillales; Lactobacillaceae.
GAGUGAGUGGCGAACUGGUGAGUAACACGUGGGAAACCUGCCCAGAAGCGGGGGAUAACACCUGGAAACAGAUGCUAAUACCGCAUAACAACUUGGACCGCAUGGUCCGAGUUUGAAAGAUGGCUUCGGCUAUCACUUUUGGAUGGUCCCGCGGCGUAUUAGCUAGAUGGUGGGGUAACGGCUCACCAUGGCAAUGAUACGUAGCCGACCUGAGAGGGUAAUCGGCCACAUUGGGACUGAGACACGGCCCAAACUCCUACGGGAGGCAGCAGUAGGGAAUCUUCCACAAUGGACGAAAGUCUGAUGGAGCAACGCCGCGUGAGUGAAGAAGGGUUUCGGCUCGUAAAACUCUGUUGUUAAAGAAGAACAUAUCUGAGAGUAACUGUUCAGGUAUUGACGGUAUUUAACCAGAAAGCCACGGCUAACUACGUGCCAGCAGCCGCGGUAAUACGUAGGUGGCAAGCGUUGUCCGGAUUUAUUGGGCGUAAAGCGAGCGCAGGCGGUUUUUUAAGUCUGAUGUGAAAGCCUUCGGCUCAACCGAAGAAGUGCAUCGGAAACUGGGAAACUUGAGUGCAGAAGAGGACAGUGGAACUCCAUGUGUAGCGGUGAAAUGCGUAGAUAUAUGGAAGAACACCAGUGGCGAAGGCGGCUGUCUGGUCUGUAACUGACGCUGAGGCUCGAAAGUAUGGGUAGCAAACAGGAUUAGAUACCCUGGUAGUCCAUACCGUAAACGAUGAAUGCUAAGUGUUGGAGGGUUUCCGCCCUUCAGUGCUGCAGCUAACGCAUUAAGCAUUCCGCCUGGGGAGUACGGCCGCAAGGCUGAAACUCAAAGGAAUUGACGGGGGCCCGCACAAGCGGUGGAGCAUGUGGUUUAAUUCGAAGCUACGCGAAGAACCUUACCAGGUCUUGACAUACUAUGCAAAUCUAAGAGAUUAGACGUUCCCUUCGGGGACAUGGAUACAGGUGGUGCAUGGUUGUCGUCAGCUCGUGUCGUGAGAUGUUGGGUUAAGUCCCGCAACGAGCGCAACCCUUAUUAUCAGUUGCCAGCAUUAAGUUGGGCACUCUGGUGAGACUGCCGGUGACAAACCGGAGGAAGGUGGGGAUGACGUCAAAUCAUCAUGCCCCUUAUGACCUGGGCUACACACGUGCUACAAUGGAUGGUACAACGAGUUGCGAACUCGCGAGAGUAAGCUAAUCUCUUAAAGCCAUUCUCAGUUCGGAUUGUAGGCUGCAACUCGCCUACAUGAAGUCGGAAUCGCUAGUAAUCGCGGAUCAGCAUGCCGCGGUGAAUACGUUCCCGGGCCUUGUACACACCGCCCGUCACACCAUGAGAGUUU